RNAcentral lists this long non-coding RNA (2896 nucleotides) under Equus asinus (donkey). RNAcentral's name for it is "lncRNA (ENSEASG00005000133.2)". The record is from RNAcentral. Lineage: Eukaryota; Metazoa; Chordata; Mammalia; Perissodactyla; Equidae.
AGCACCCUCAGUGCUUUGUUCUCCUCCCUGGGCGCCCCCCCGCCCAGACUAUCCCCACCGCCGGGCCGCCAGCCUGGCUGCUGUCUCUCCGGGAGCCGCUGCCAAGCCGUCAGCUCCUUUCAUCGCCCCAAGGCAGCCAGAGGGAGCGCCAGCAGCAGCCUUGGCACACGCCCGCCUCCGGCCACUCCCGGCGUGUUCUCAGACACAGACGCCAGCCCAGCGGGGCGGGCACCCAGCUCCGAGCCCACGGCUGCAACAAGGAAGGGUCACUGGGGGACCCAGCCCCCUCAUUACACGUCAGGAAACCUGGGCUGGGGAUCAGCCAGGCCUCCUUUGAAACUGUCUAGCCAAAUCAGCCCGUCAGAGUGGCGAUCAGAUGUCCAUGGGAGGCGGUUCCCUCUGCUGGAAUGUUCUCCAUCCCGCCCCCACCGGCCAGCCCCUCAGGGCUCAGUGAGGGCAGGCCCUUCCUCAGAGGCCCUGACCUUCACCCAGGGCCAAGCUCCCUCUUAGCACUCAUAGCACCCAGCCCAGGCGCCUGGCUGUCAGCCCAGAUGGGCACCUAAGCUAAGGAAGCUUUGGGGAGGGACGGGGGACCUUGCAGGGCUCCCCGGUCGGUCCACUUGGUGGUCCUGCUCCUCCCGACAUGUGGGCACAGGCUGGCCUUCCAGGACUUCCGUGUUUGGCUCCUGGAGGCAGGACCUCUGUCCCCAUCCUGACUCCAGGCACCCAGAGGCAGCCAAGAGCUGGGCAGGGGGCUACCCAACUCCACAGAGAUGCCCGUGGCCUCAGGAAACUCUGUCCCACACCCUUGGCUUUGAGGUGAGGAUAAGAGAGCCCAGCCCUGGCUCCAGGAUCACCUCCAUCGAGUCCGUCCUGGUUCUCUGAGCCUUCACUUCCUCCUCUGCCAAACGGAUUCUGAUUCUUCCUGGUCAGGCUGCUGACAGGAUCGAUGUGCCUAUCUCCCAGGGCUGCUGGCAGGAUUAGAUAGGUUGCCCUUCGAACAGUCACCUGGAAGCAGGGGGAGGAGCCUGUUCAUGUUGGGCGUUGACCAACAAGAACCAGCAAGAGAGAUGAAGAUGGAUCUGCCCUCGCACAGCUACAGCAGACUCGCACACUCGGAGGCAACAUGUGACGUGGAGAGACACACUUUAUGUCCAUGUUGUUGGGGGAGCAGCCUGUGCCGUCCCUCGGUGAGCUGGCAUCCUCCUGGCCCUGCUGAGCAGCGAGAGCCACAGCACCUACAGGAGCCCCAGGGUCCUGAGGGAACCGCCUUGAGCCUCAGUCUCCUCAUCUGUAAACCGAGGCUGAUGACUCCAGGCCCAUGUCACAGGACCGCAGAGAGAAAUGCCCGACAUUGGGACUGUGGGGUCACAGGAACGUGGUCACAACAUCUGAGCACCUUCCCCAGACAGACCCCAGGCUGGGCACCGAGGAAGGGUUGCUUGCACCUGAGCUGGGCCUGAGCUGGGCCUUGAAGGAGAAGCAAAGUCCACCACUCCCUGCAGGGAGCUGUGGGCAGACACACCCCAAAAAACAAAUACACUGCGAUGGGCGCCCGGACAAGCCACCGAGAGCAGCAGGACAGCCAGUGGCCUGAGGGCAGGGGAGGGCGCCACCUGCUGGUCACAGAUGAGAAGUGCACCUGGUGCCCACUUGGUCCUUCUGGAGGAGCCUGUGCUCCGGACUCUGAAGCCCUGGGCGGUGACUCCCGGGCUCCCACCCGAGGCACAACAUCCUCCUCCCCACAAGUUUCUCCAAAUAGCUGCUUCACAUGCUUUUCAUAGACGUGAUGUUUUUACAUGUCAGAAGUGUGUCAGAUACUCUAUAAAUCUUCAUAAACUCCCCAAACGUGUACCCAGGGCUGGCCCCUGUGCUAGGCACUGGUGACACGGUGACCAGCCAGAUAGCCAUGGUCCCUGCGGGCUCUGAGGGCAGGAGGCCAAUACUAAACACUGUCACAAAGGGCCCAUUUAGUGACAAGCGUAAUCACGGCUAACGGGGAAGCGGAGAGGGGAACGUUGCGUCACUUGCCCCCUCGCCAGCUCUGCAAGGACGGAUGUGACUGCUGCUUUACAGACGAGGCUCAGAGAGGUGGAGUGGUCCACACGGCAGGAGGAGAUGCAGCUCAGACAGGGACCCAGGGCUGCCAGGCCACCGGAGGAGGGAGGGUGCAGGCUCCCCCGCAGGCCCACUGCCAGGCUGCAGAAAUGGUCCCCAACUCCCUUCCUAACGAGGCCCAGAGAGCAGCUGUGUCUCCAAAGCCUGGUUUCAAUGGGUUUCUGCCAUCGCUAGGACUAAGACCUGGCCCCCUGCAAGAGCUGCGCUCUUCUCCCGUCUAAAGGGACAAGUAGACAGAACCCCGAGUCCUCACAUGCCGUCAGCCAGACCUUCUCCCCUCCCCCCACCUCCUUUCGUCUAAUGAUCCCACCAUCCUUCAGGAGAGAAGAGGGCCCUGCAGUAAGAUGUGGACGUCCCUGGGCCACCUGGGAAUUGCCAUCUCUUUCCCGGCCUCAGUUUCCCCCCCGUCUACUGAGAGGUCAGAUUGACUCCUCUGAAGACCUCGGUUGAUCUGAAGUGUUAAAAUCCUCUUCGCCAGCCUUCCACCUCCCUUCGUCAGCAAGCACAGAGACGUACAGACCUCUCAGUGAUGCUGGGCAUCCUCAGUUUCCACAGGGUGACUCGUCUUUGGGAGACCAAAGCCAAAAUGGUUUGGAGACGGUACAGGCAAACCAGACUCCCUGCCACAUGACGGCUCAGAGAUGCGGCAGCCAGGACAGCCUUGCCUCCCUCUGGGUCAGUGACGCCAGCCGCCGGAGGGCUUGAUGGGCAAGGCUCCCGGGCAGGUCCCCUCCCUCUCUGAAUUUUGGCCCCUCACACCAUCUGCAGACGCUCCUUG